GAUGAACGCUGGCGGCGUGCCUAAUACAUGCAAGUCGAGCGAACAGACGAGGAGCUUGCUCCUCUGACGUUAGCGGCGGACGGGUGAGUAACACGUGUAUCACCUCCCUAUAAGACUGGGAUAACUUCGGAAAACCGGAGCUAAUACCGUAUAAUAUAUUGCACCGCAUGGUUCAAUGGUAAAAUACGGUUUUUCUGGACCUAAUAGAUGCAUCACCGCCGCAUUAGGUGGUUGGUAAGGUAACGGCUUACCACGGCAACGAUGCGUAGCCGACCGCAGAGGGUGGUCGGCCACACUGGAACUGAGACACGGUCCAGACUCCUACGGGAGGCAGCAGUAGGGAAUCUUCCGCAAUGGGCGAAAGCCUGACGGAGCAACGCCGCGUGAGUGAUGAAGGUCUUCGGAUCGUAAAACUCUGUUAUUAGGGAAGAACAAAUGUGUAAGUAACUAUGCACGUCUUGACGGUACCUAAUCAGAAAGCCACGGCUAACUACGUG
RNAcentral lists this ribosomal RNA (497 nucleotides) under uncultured bacterium. RNAcentral describes it as "partial 16S ribosomal RNA". It matches the Rfam family "Bacterial small subunit ribosomal RNA", at positions 28 to 507 of the family's 1533-position model. The record is from RNAcentral.